This 497-nucleotide ribosomal RNA is filed under the name uncultured bacterium. RNAcentral describes it as "partial 16S ribosomal RNA". It matches the Rfam family "Bacterial small subunit ribosomal RNA", at positions 28 to 507 of the family's 1533-position model. The record is from RNAcentral.
GAUGAACGCUGGCGGCGUGCCUAAUACAUGCAAGUCGAGCGAACGGACGAGAAGCUUGCUUCUCUGAUGUUAGCGGCGGACGGGUGAGUAACACGUGGAUAACCUACCUAUAAGACUGGGAUAACUUCGGGAAACCGGAGCUAAUACCGGAUAAUAUUUUGAACCGCAUGGUUCAAAAGUGAAAGACGGUCUUGCUGUCACUUAUAGAUGGAUCCGCGCUGCAUGAGCUAGUUGGUAAGGUAACGGCUUACCAAGGCAACGAUGCAUAGCCGACCUGAGAGGGUGAUCGGCCACACUGGAACUGAGCCACGGUCCAGACUCCUACGGGAGGCAGCAGUAGGGAAUCUUCCGCAAUGGGCGAAAGCCUGACGGAGCAACGCCGCGUGAGUGAUGAAGGUCUUCGGAUCGUAAAACUCUGUUAUUAGGGAAGAACAUAUGUGUAAGUAACUGUGCACAUCUUGACGGUACCUAAUCAGAAAGCCACGGCUAACUACGUG